GGGGCCGUACUGGUUUUGACGGGGGAACGUCUGUCUUUGAUUGCAGCAAGGUGGCGACUUACCGCCAAAAACCAAUAACUGACAACACUGUCAAACCUUGGAUGCUCGGCAACAACGCCCGCGUCCUCGCUCGCGCCUAAUUGCACCUGAAAAACGGUUCCGCGCCAUUUUAGCGGACGAGCACCUCCCUCUUCGCGUUUCUCGCUUUGGCGAAAUUGGGGGCAACAAAAAGCGAUAAGCUCUCGAUUUGGCUGCUUCGAGGGACGAAAAACCCUAAGCCAAACCACGAAGUCUACUUGUUCCGGUCCAGCUUCGUGGUGAUUUGACCGGAACUAAGCUGUAGAGGUCAUUGAGGGAUGUCCUUCGGACCGGGGUUCGAUUCCCCGCGACUCCACCA
Molecule: transfer-messenger RNA, 397 nt
Filed under: pig gut metagenome
Rfam family: transfer-messenger RNA
About the family: Bacterial tmRNA, also known as 10Sa RNA or SsrA, is named for its dual tRNA and mRNA-like properties. Its role is to liberate the mRNA from a stalled ribosome.
Source: RNAcentral